Molecule: long non-coding RNA, 1723 nt
Organism: Rhinolophus ferrumequinum (greater horseshoe bat)
Lineage: Eukaryota; Metazoa; Chordata; Mammalia; Chiroptera; Rhinolophidae
Exons: 3
Source: RefSeq, a predicted model, not a curated record
UUCUCCUGUAAUCAGUCUGGUAACUUUUAAAGCAGGGCAGGCUGCCCUAUUAUAUCUUUCUAAAUGCUCUUCUCAGUAAUCGCAUCCUGGUAGUAAGUUGUAGUGCAGAAAUGAGGCGUCGGCUUUUUAAAGGCAGUAUUUGGAAGGCAAUGCCCUUGGAAAGUAGUAUUAUUCCAAAUGUGGUUCACAUUAGAUUGUCUGAAUUAGGGCUCCAAGAAAAUCAUUCUAAUUGGUCACAACUGUUAAAUUUUUGUUUAAAAUAAUACCUUUUAUUUCACAUGUGGACUUGAAACCUGCCUUGUACACAAAAUGACUUAUUUAAAAGGAUACAGAAACAAGGUUAAAAAAAAUGGAAAUAAAACAAAAAGUGGGCUGUAAAACAGAGCCAGAAAUGAAACACACACUUUUAACCUAUCUUCUUACUAGGGAUGAUACACAAAAGUAGUUUCUACAGCCAGAGUGCGUGGUGGUAUCUUAAAUUUACGGAGGUGGGGGGUGGGUAAAAGUGAGUAUAAAUGAAAACUCUAGAACAAGAAAAAGUACUACUUUUCAUUUUCAGCACUGGCAAAUUACUGGCAUUUUUUGUUUAUAUUGCUUUUUAAUAUGAAAAUAGUAUGAAUUUGGUUAAGCAAGAAACUCAAAACUGUACCAAAACAUCUACCUCACCUUCCGAAACUGAGGAAAUCCCUUCUGUUUUAAGUUCCUCCAGAACAUUUCUAUCUGUACAAGCAUUUUUUUUUUUUAAGCCAAAGGUGCUUUGAACAUAGCUGGCGCUCGUUACCUUUUUGACAACUGAAAGUUAAUCCUGAGGUUUGGAAAUUCGCACCUUGAAAAUGUACACAAAGACCACGCCUCCUGUUGUUAAGCGCAGCAAGCGCGAUUUGUAGUGUCCAACGGUGACGCAGUCUGCCGCUCGGAAGGCGACCCACGCCGUCCAAGGACCGGGGCCGGAAUGAAACCUCCCGCCUCGCCGGGUGAAAGUACCUACGCCGCGUAAGGCGGGCUGGCCCCGUCCACUGCCGGAAGGGGAUGAAGCUGGCGCCGACCGUGCUUCCGGUCACGCGGUGGUCAGUGACCCCGGAACCACAACCUCACUCCGGAAGUGGCUCAGGGGCGGAAGGGGGAGAAGUGAACUCAGCUUUGGUUCGUCGUGAGGGCGUUUCGGAGGUCCGACGGGGUAAAUCGAGCGAGGCUGCGGAAGUGCUAAGCUCUGUAGGGCUGCGGCCGCCCGAACUCCCGUAGCCUACCGCCUUCCAGCGUAGGCGGACGCUGUGCAUCUUCCGCCGGUGCUGCGCGCCGCAGGUAGUGGAGCUUACUCGCUCUCCACUAGCUGCUUCACGCGUGAGGAUAUCAAUGGAAAAGCCCCGGUCCCAGGCACAGGCAUGGGCAUGAAUAUGGGCGUGAGCUUUAUGGGGCUGCCACCAGUUGACCAGAAACACAGGAGUGGACAGAUGGAGGCCGUGGUACUGAAUUGCUCAUUGUGCCAGCAGGACUUGCAGUACGUGGGUGCCCGGCUCCUACCCUGCCAGCAUUUGCACUGUAAGGACUGCUUUCAGGGCUUGAUCCAGGAGCUGGGGCAGGUUGCCAAGGCUCAUGGGACUGUCUCAGACGCCAAAGGAACAGCACCCCUGGGAGGUUCUUCAUGCACCAGGACUGGUGAUAUCAGUUUCUCACUGAAUGUUUUCUGAAGGACUGAAAAAGAAUGGCGCCCAAAUGAGCUGAC